This 1924-nucleotide unclassified non-coding RNA is filed under the name Hevea brasiliensis (rubber tree). Lineage: Eukaryota; Viridiplantae; Streptophyta; Magnoliopsida; Malpighiales; Euphorbiaceae. The record is from RNAcentral.
ACAAAAACUUUAGAAACAAAUACAGUUACAGAGGCAAGAGAUCUAACAAGUAAAACAAAACUUAAACAUCAAAAUAUGUAACCCUUGAAAUCUAGUUUCAAGCGAUUCGAACAGUUGUACAUUUCAAUUUACUUUACAACAAAUUAUGAGUUCUCCAAACAGACAACCGAGGAAUGACGAACAAGUCUUGAGUUGGUGCAGCCUAGGCCCAAUACAACCUCCAAUCGUUACAAAUAAUCUAUUACAGAUUCACCGGUGAUAUGGGCUACUACACACCCAUGACAGCACAAUUUCGCUUCACAUAUUCGUCAACUAGGUCACAGCCUGUGUGUUCAAAUUACUCGUAGAUUUUAAACCAUGUCGCUUCUGGAAGUCGAUGGCAGGGAACAUAGCAUUGCAUUUGCAGCUGUUCCACCAUAUCUGGUUUUCGACCAGGCAACCUUCCUAAAGAUCAAUACAUCAUAGGGCCGCUAACAAAUCAAAGAUCAUAGUUUUACAUUUCCCAGGCAACCAAGUUCCAUGGUGGUCUAGAGAAGCAAACUUGGAGUGCAGUUCAUAUUACUCUUCCAUCUUGCUUUCCACAUUCGAGGAGUUCUCGAGGUCCGUUCCAUCUCUAUCAACUCUUUGGUCCUUCCCAUCAGCCUCUCCAUUUGACUGGCUCGCAACUAACAUCUCUGCAUCAUCAUGUGGAGCCUCUAUGGACCCAGUUGAUGUGCCCAGUUCACCACUAUCAACUCUUUGGUUCUCACCAUCAACCUCUCCAUUUGAAUGGCCCACAACUAACAUCUCUCCAGCAUCAGGUGGAACCUUCGUGGACUCCAUUGAUUCUGAAGGCCCAGUGUCUUUUGUGCCAUCUUCCAUAGCGGUCUUAUCAGAAUCCAUACUAUGGGAUAGGGACAUCACAUUCUGCUCAACACUUGGCUCGGGGACAGAUUCUGGAUGAGCUGGAUACUCAAUAUGGCUCAUCAUCCGUGCCUGAUAGACCUGAUGCAUCUUAAAAUUCACAAUAGCCUGCAUUUCCUCAGGUCCACUAACAACACUGACUGGUCCAGUUUCUCCAACAGGACGAUUUGUCAAAGAUGUGGCCUCCUCAACAUUUAGGGCAAGACAAUCAGGUCUCUCUAAAAGAAGUCGAAACGUUGGUUGAAGUUCAUAACAUUGCUCAAAAAGAGAACGUCGACAAAAAACAUAGAGACCCAGACGAGCACGGGACAUUGCAACAAUCAAUCUUCUGACAUCACGGAGGUGGCCAACAAAGCGCGUACGGACUAGAGACAAUAAGAUAAAAUCAUUCUGCUGACCUUGAAAUUUAUCGACAGUUGCAACCUUGUGUGGAGGACCAAUAAAGUCAUAAGGGACACAUCUUCUGUUUAUAACAUCGCGGAUCAAAAGUUUCUGACCAUUAUAAGUAGUCAAGAUCGAUAUCUUAUUCGCGGGAUAUCCAAGUAAGCGCAUAUACAUAUAGACACUGACUAUGUACUCAGCCUCUCCCUCAUUUUGAUAAAACCAGGGUGAAGGGGCACUUUCACCUCUGCCAUUGUAAUCAGGCACAUCUACCAACUGAUAGUCAUAUGAGAAUCCAGCAUUUGCUUUAUGAAAGACCGCAUUCUCCUUCACAUAAGGAAGAUCCCCCAGUUCUCUGUAUCUCCAAUUGUAAAGGCGAGCUAAACUUGGCCGGGCCCUACCCUGGGCAUUGAGCUCAAUAUAUGGUAUCCCUAGUCUGACAAAUCUUGUGAAGAGACUCUGAUCCAUGUGGCUGUACUUCUGAAAAGCCAUAUUUUUCACGACAGGGGGCAAUUGAUGAUGGUCGCCAAUCAGUAUACAGCGUUUAAGCCGAGCAUAGCCAUCUUCCUGCCUCUGAAGCAACAUCGGGAUGAAAGUUUCAAUUUCCAAAAUUUGGGCACUUUCUUCCAUCAACAAGUUG